AUGCAAAUAAAACCUAGGAUUUUAGAUCUAGGAUUUUACAGAAAUUAAGUUUUAGAUCGUGUGUCAAAAUAAUAUAUUACAUAUAAUAUUAAUCGAUCUAAAAUACAUAAAAAUACAUUCAUAAUAUGAUUUAAAUUUAAAAUAUGUAAUAAUGAUAAUUUUUUAUUCGCUAUUCAUCUUCAUAGGAAACAUCACAGUCGACACCGCUACACGUCAUAAGAGAGAAUCCAUCGAAUGGGCUAAAGAAGGACUUUAAUCCCUUCAUCAUCUUAUGA
RNAcentral lists this long non-coding RNA (275 nucleotides) under Elaeis guineensis (African oil palm). RNAcentral describes it as "long non-coding RNA (EGUI_LNC043846)". The record is from RNAcentral. Lineage: Eukaryota; Viridiplantae; Streptophyta; Magnoliopsida; Arecales; Arecaceae.